This 74-nucleotide transfer RNA is filed under the name Acidimicrobiales bacterium. Its description in RNAcentral is "tRNA-Arg". It matches the Rfam family "tRNA". Rfam says of the family: Transfer RNA (tRNA) molecules are approximately 80 nucleotides in length. Their secondary structure includes four short double-helical elements and three loops (D, anti-codon, and T loops). The record is from RNAcentral. Lineage: Bacteria; Bacillati; Actinomycetota; Acidimicrobiia; Acidimicrobiales.
GCCCUCGUAGCUCAGAUGGAUAGAGCUCCCGCCUUCUAAGCGGUAGGUCGCAGGUUCGAGUCCUGCCGGGGGCG